Molecule: ribosomal RNA, 170 nt
Filed under: Lutjanus monostigma (onespot snapper)
Lineage: Eukaryota; Metazoa; Chordata; Actinopteri; Lutjaniformes; Lutjanidae
Description: partial 12S rRNA
Source: RNAcentral
CACCGCGGUUAUACGAGAGACCCGAGUUGUUAGACACCGGCGUAAAGAGUGGUUAAGAUUUAUCCAAGACUAAAGCCGAACGCCCUCAAAGCCGUUAUACGCACCCGAAGGUAAGAAGCCCAACCACGAAAGUGGCUUUAUAUUUAUCCGAACCCACGAAAGCUAUGACA